GACGAACGCUGGCGGCGUGCUUAACACAUGCAAGUCGAACGGAAAGGCCCUGCUUUUGUGGGGUGCUCGAGUGGCGAACGGGUGAGUAACACGUGAGUAACCUGCCCUUGACUUUGGGAUAACUUCAGGAAGCUGGGGCUAAUACCGGAUAGGAGCUCCUGCUGCAUGGUGGGGGUUGGAAAGUUUCGGCGGUUGGGGAUGGACUCGCGGCUUAUCAGCUUGUUGGUGGGGUAGUGGCUUACCAAGGCUUUGACGGGUAGCCGGCCUGAGAGGGUGACCGGCCACAUUGGGACUGAGAUACGGCACAGACUCCUACGGGAGGCAGCAGUGGGGAAUAUUGCACAAUGGGCGGAAGCCUGAUGCAGCAACGCCGCGUGCGGGAUGACGGCCUUAGGGUUGUAAACCGCUUUCGCCUGUGACGAAGCGUGAGUGACGGUAAUGGGUACAGAAGCACCGGCUAACUACGUG
RNAcentral lists this ribosomal RNA (468 nucleotides) under uncultured bacterium. RNAcentral's name for it is "partial 16S ribosomal RNA". It matches the Rfam family "Bacterial small subunit ribosomal RNA", at positions 28 to 507 of the family's 1533-position model. The record is from RNAcentral.